UAGUCAUAUGCUUGUCUCAAAGACUAAGCCAUGCAUGUCUAAGUAUAAGCGAUUUAUAGUGAAACUGCGAAUGGCUCAUUAAAACAGUUAUAGUUUAUUUGAUAAUCGAAUUUUACAUGGAUAACCGUGGUAAUUCUAGAGCUAAUACAUGCUGUUAAGCCUGACUUUUUGGAAGGGCUGUAUUUAUUAGAUACAAACCAAUAUUCCUUCGGGUCUAUUGUGAUGAUUCAAUAUAACUGAUCGAAUCGCAUGGUCUUGCACCGCGAUAAAUCAUUCAAGUUUCUGCCCCAUCAGCUUUCGAUGGUAGUGUAUUGGACUACCAUGGCUUUCACGGGUAACGGAGGCUUAGGGUUCGAUUCCGGAGAGGGAGCCUGAGAAACGGCUACCACAUCUAAGGAAGGCAGCAGGCGCGUAAAUUACCCAAUCCUGACUCAGGGAGGUAGUGACAAGAAAUAACAGACCGGAGCCUACGGUUCCGGGAUUGCAAUGAGUACAAUUUAGACUCCUUAACAAGUAACAAUU
RNAcentral lists this ribosomal RNA (522 nucleotides) under uncultured eukaryote. RNAcentral's name for it is "SSU rRNA". It matches the Rfam family "Eukaryotic small subunit ribosomal RNA", at positions 21 to 549 of the family's 1831-position model. The record is from RNAcentral.